This 59-nucleotide transfer RNA is filed under the name Loxodonta africana (African savanna elephant). It matches the Rfam family "tRNA", at positions 14 to 71 of the family's 71-position model. From Rfam's summary of the family: Transfer RNA (tRNA) molecules are approximately 80 nucleotides in length. The record is from Rfam by way of RNAcentral. Lineage: Eukaryota; Metazoa; Chordata; Mammalia; Proboscidea; Elephantidae.
AGUGGUUAAGUGAUCGGCUGCUAACUGAAAGGUUGGUGGUUCGAACCCACCAGCCACUC